Molecule: ribosomal RNA, 423 nt
Filed under: Chelisoches sp. AMEBU13954
Lineage: Eukaryota; Metazoa; Arthropoda; Insecta; Dermaptera; Chelisochidae
Description: partial 16S ribosomal RNA
Rfam family: Bacterial large subunit ribosomal RNA
Source: RNAcentral
CUGCUCCUGAAGUUUUAAAGAGCCGCGGUUUUUGACCGUGCAAAGGUAGCACAAUCAAUAGUUUUUUGAUUGGAAACCAGAAUGAAAGAUUUAAUGAAUUUUUGACUGUUUCUUAGUAAACAUGAAUUUAACCUUUUUGUAAAAAGGCAAAACUGCAAAAAAGGACGAGAAGACCCUAUAGAUCUUUAUUAAAAUAAAAAUAGAAGAAGUAAGAAAUGGAGUUUUUAAAGGUUAUAUAAAUUUGGUUGGGGCAAUCAGAAAGCCAUAAUGGACCUUUCUUGUUAGGAAUAGGAUAGGUAAAUAAAUCAUCCAUGAAGUAUGAAAACAGAAAAAGAUACCUUAGGGAUAACAGCGUUAUCCUUUUAGAGAGUCCUUAUCGAUAAAAGGGUUUGCGACCUCGAUGUUGGAUAAAGUAUCUUAGAC